This 433-nucleotide ribosomal RNA is filed under the name uncultured bacterium. RNAcentral's name for it is "partial 16S ribosomal RNA". It matches the Rfam family "Bacterial small subunit ribosomal RNA", at positions 29 to 507 of the family's 1533-position model. The record is from RNAcentral.
AACGAACGCUGGCGGCAUGCCUAACACAUGCAAGUCGAACGAGACCUUCGGGUCUAGUUGCGCACGGGUGCGUAACGCGUGGGAACCUGCCCUUAGGUUCGGAAUAACUCCCCGAAAGGGGUGCUAAUACCGGAUAAUGUCUUCGGACCAAAGAUUUAUCGCCUUUGGAUGGGCCCGCGUUGGAUUAGCUAGUUGGUAGGGUAAAAGCCUACCAAGGCGAAGAUCCAUAGCUGGUCUGGGAGGAUGAUCAGCCACACUGGGACUGAGACACGGCCCAGACUCCUACGCAAGGAAGCAGUGGGGAAUAUUGAACGCUGGGCGAAAGCCUAAUCCAGCAGUGCCGCGUGAGUGAUGAAGGAGUUAGGGUUGUAAAGCUCUUUUACCCGGGAUGAUAAUGACAGUACCGGGAGAAUAAGCUCCGGCUAACUCCGUG